RNAcentral lists this ribosomal RNA (442 nucleotides) under Blastocystis sp. subtype 1. RNAcentral describes it as "SSU rRNA". It matches the Rfam family "Eukaryotic small subunit ribosomal RNA", at positions 458 to 913 of the family's 1831-position model. Lineage: Eukaryota; Bigyra; Opalinata; Blastocystidae. The record is from RNAcentral.
UUGGAGGUAGUGACAAUAAAUCACAAUGCGGGACUAUCAGUCUUGCAAUUGGAUUGAGAACAAUGUACAACUCUUAUCGAUAAGCCAUUGGAGGGCAAGUCUGGUGCCAGCAGCCGCGGUAAUUCCAGCUCCAAUAGCGUAUAUUAACGUUGUUGCAGUUAAAAAGCUCGUAGUUGAAGUGUGGGUGAUCGCUGUUGUGAGACUUCGGUCUCUCGACAGUAAGUCACCCCCUUCCAGUAUCCAGUAGUGGGUAUUCAGUUACUUACUAUUGUGUGUUGGUCAUUUACUGUGAGAAAAUUAGAGUGUUCAAAGCAGGCGUUUGCUUGAAUAGAUUAGCAUGGAAUAAUAAUUGAAGGCUUUCGUGUUCGAUUUGAUUGGUUUGUUCAUGGAAGCAAGGUUAAAAGGAACAGUUGGGGGUAUUCAUAUUCACUAGUAGGUGAUU